UACCAGCACCCCGAGUGGUCUGGACGAUUAUUGGUCCUAAAGCAUCCGUAGCCGGUCAUGCAAGUCCUCCGUUAAAUCCACCUGCUUAACAGAUGGGCUGCGGAGGAUACUACAAGGCUAGGAGGCGGAAGAGGCAAGCGGUACUCAGUGGGUAGGGGUAAAAUCCUCUGAUCCAUUGAAGACCACCAGUGGCGAAGGCGGCUUGCCAAUACGCGCUCGACGGUGAGGGAUGAAAGCUGGGGGAGCAAACCGG
RNAcentral lists this ribosomal RNA (253 nucleotides) under uncultured bacterium. Its description in RNAcentral is "partial 16S ribosomal RNA". It matches the Rfam family "Archaeal small subunit ribosomal RNA", at positions 474 to 727 of the family's 1478-position model. The record is from RNAcentral.